This 468-nucleotide ribosomal RNA is filed under the name uncultured bacterium. Its description in RNAcentral is "partial 16S ribosomal RNA". It matches the Rfam family "Bacterial small subunit ribosomal RNA", at positions 28 to 507 of the family's 1533-position model. The record is from RNAcentral.
GACGAACGCUGGCGGCGUGCUUAACACAUGCAAGUCGAACGGAAAGGCCCUGCUUUUGUGGGGUGCUCGAGUGGCGAACGGGUGAGUAACACGUGAGUAACCUGCCCUUGACUUUGGGAUAACUUCAGGAAACUGGGGCUAAUACCGGAUAGGAGCUCCUGCUGCAUGGUGGGGGUUGGAAAGUUUCGGCGGUUGGGGAUGGACUCGCGGCUUAUCAGCUUGUUGGUGGGGUAGUGGCUUAACAAGGCUUUGACGGGUAGCCGGCCUGAGAGGGUGACCGGCCACAUUGGGACUGAGAUACGGCCCAGACUCCUACGGGAGGCAGCAGUGGGGAAUAUUGCACAAUGGGCGGAAGCCUGAUGCAGCAACGCCGCGUGCGGGAUGACGGCCUUCGGGUUGUAAACCGCUUUCGCCUGUGACGAAGCGUGAGUGACGGUAAUGGGUAAAGAAGCACCGGCUAACUACGUG